RNAcentral lists this microRNA precursor (232 nucleotides) under Picea abies (Norway spruce). RNAcentral's name for it is "miR11463 stem-loop (pab-MIR11463)". The record is from miRBase by way of RNAcentral. Lineage: Eukaryota; Viridiplantae; Streptophyta; Pinopsida; Pinales; Pinaceae.
UGGGGUUUCUAAUAGCGAGCAUCUGGGCCUCGGAGGUUAUUCGAACAGGAAGUUGUCCUCAGAAGCUAUUCGAACAGGAAGUUGUCUUCACCUAGAGAACCGGUAUCAUCGUCUAGACCUGGACACAAUUGUCCAGGUCUACAUGAUGAUACCGGAUCUCUAUGUGAGGAUAACUUCCUGUUCGAAUAGCCUCGGAGCCUGGAGGACCAGAUGCUCGCUAUUAGAAACCCCA